Molecule: ribosomal RNA, 516 nt
Filed under: uncultured Armatimonadota bacterium
Lineage: Bacteria; Bacillati; Armatimonadota
Description: bacterial SSU rRNA
Rfam family: Bacterial small subunit ribosomal RNA
Source: RNAcentral
GGCGAGCGUUGCCCGAAUUUACUGGGCGUAAAGCGCACGUAGGCGGCUUCGUAAGUCUGGUGUGAAAUCUCACGGCUCAACCGAGGAGCUGCACCAGAUACUGCGGAGCUCGAGGACGGGAGAGGGGAUCGGAAUUCCCGGUGUAGCGGUGAAAUGCAUUGAUAUCGGGAGGAACACCAGUGGCGAAGGCGGAUCUCUGGCCCGUUGCUGACGCUGAGGUGCGAAAGCUGGGGGAGCGAAAGGGAUUAGAUACCCCUGUAGUCCCAGCCCUAAACGAUGGGCGCUAGGUGUUGGGGGAUUAACCCUCGGCGCCGCAGCUAACGCAUUAAGCGCCCCGCCUGGGGAGUACGGCCGCAAGGUUGAAACUCAAAGGAAUUGACGGGGGCCCGCACAAGCGGUAGAACAUGUGGAUUAAUUCGAUACAAACCGAAGAACCUUACCUGGGCUUGACAUCUACGAGCAACGUCUGGAGACAGGCGCAUCGGGUAACUGACUCGUGGACACCGGUUGCAUGGC